AUGGCCAAGCGCACAGGCCUUGCUCAUGCAGCAACGCUACUGUCGCUGUUGCUUCUCAUGUGCUUUGCUAUCCAUGUACAUUGCCGAAUCAUGGAAGACAAAGUCAGCAAGAAGAUUCAUUUACCACAUGGAUUAUGCGCGCAUAGGGGCUGGAAUUGCCGCACUGCAUUCCAUUGCGAGUGUUGUCUACUAAGCAACAUCUGCUAUACUACAAUGGACUUAUGCAUGGAAGCGUGCAAAUAA
RNAcentral lists this ribosomal RNA (243 nucleotides) under Triticum aestivum (bread wheat). RNAcentral describes it as "partial small subunit ribosomal RNA". Lineage: Eukaryota; Viridiplantae; Streptophyta; Magnoliopsida; Poales; Poaceae. The record is from RNAcentral.